RNAcentral lists this ribosomal RNA (490 nucleotides) under uncultured bacterium. RNAcentral describes it as "partial 16S ribosomal RNA". It matches the Rfam family "Bacterial small subunit ribosomal RNA", at positions 29 to 507 of the family's 1533-position model. The record is from RNAcentral.
AUGAACGCUAGCUACAGGCUUCACACCUGCAAGUCGAGGGGAAACGAUGAGAGAGCUUGCUCUCUUAGUCGUCGACCGGCGCACGGGUGAGUAACGCGUAUCCAACCUGCCUCUGACCAAGGGAUAACCCGUCGAAAGUCGGACUAAUACCUUAUGCAGUCGUCGGAAGUCAUCUGAUGACGACGAAAGAUUUCAUCGGUGAGAGAUGGGGAUGCGUCUGAUUAGCUUGUUGGCGGGGUAACGGCCCACCAAGGCGACGAUCAGUAGGGGUUCUGAGAGGAAGGUCCCCCACAUUGGAACUGAGACACGGUCCAAACUCCUACGGGAGGCAGCAGUGAGGAAUAUUGGUCAAUGGGCGUAAGCCUGAACCAGCCAAGUAGCGUGCAGGAUGACGGCCCUAUGGGUUGUAAACUGCUUUUAUGCGGGGAUAAAGUGAGGGACGUGUCCUUCAUUGCAGGUACCGCAUGAAUAAGGACCGGCUAAUUCCGUG